Long non-coding RNA from Etheostoma cragini (Arkansas darter), 331 nucleotides. RefSeq lists it as uncharacterized. The record is from RefSeq and is a predicted model, not a curated record. Lineage: Eukaryota; Metazoa; Chordata; Actinopteri; Perciformes; Percidae. The transcript has 3 exons.
AAAAAGCAGGAAGUCAUAAGAAUAUUAAUCAUUCAGUCAUAGUGUAUAAAUUGCACUCACGCUAUCGGGAAUGAACUUAAACACACAGCUGCUUCCCAAAGAUUAGGACAGUUUCCAGGGUAUGUAUAUCAACAAUUCAAUGCUGUCUUAGUACAAAGAGCAGAGUUAAACUGUUAUUUUCCAAAAAAUGUGAUAACUGAAUUUGACAGUGCGUAUCAAUAUAAUGUAGGGGCGUACGAUUCAGAAAAUGUCACAAUCUGAUUCAGAAUUUUAGGCUCACGAUUUGAUUCAAUGUCGAUUUUCAAUCCAAAAAUGAUUCUCGAUUAAAAAA